AGGUUAAUAUUUAGAGCAAAUUUAUUAAAUGAAUGGGAUUUUUCCAGCAUGGGAUUUUUAAAAUUAAUUUAUCAAUCCCUUGCCUGGCAGUGCUAGAAGAGACAAAAGGGAAUGUGUCUGUAGCGUUGAGUUUUAUUUCAGAGAGAUUUUUUUUUUCCCACUUUUUUGGGGGGGGAGAAAGGCUCACCUUACAGCAUCACUUCUAGCUGUUCUGUGGCACUGCACAGGAUGCUAUGUGCCCUGACCUGCCCAUGCCGCGUGGUGCCUCGCCACGCCAGGCCAGGAGCCGGGCUGGGAGCUGCGGGUUUGGGUUUGUGCGUUGGCAGUGCGAUGGAUUCCUAAAGCAUCCACUUCCCCCAGCAGAGCUUGCAGUUAAUGCCUCUGGGGGGGUUGACAAUGUAUGACUUGCUUCUUGUUGUUGCUGUUUUAAAAAUAACCCAGCAGCAUCCCCACGCCCCAAACACUACCAAGUGUGGGGAGCAGCACGCCUGAAGCCGAGGCUUUUGGCACGGCCUGCCUGCACAGGGAUGCUGCCGAGUCCCCUGUCUGCAGCUUCACGAUGGCAAACCCUGUGCUGGGAGCUGCAAGGCACCGGGCUGCUUCUGAUAGAUCUGCUUGUAGCAGGCAUAGGCACCGCUUCGUCAGAAGGGUGACAGCUCAUCAUUAGCCAGUUCGGUCACAUAUGUUACGGCGGUGAGCGAUGUUUGAUCAAGUGAAGCUCGAGGUUAGACAUGAAGAAAUAGGUUGUAAAGCAUGCUUUGUUAAUACAAAACAGAGAGGUGGCUCCCUGGCAUCUAAUGCAAACAUCUAAUAGCUCUUAUUUUAUCCUCAUCUCCCAAAAUGUGCUAAGCCUAAGUGGAAGCAGCUGCUUCCUGCGCAGAGAGAGAGCCGGCCCCAGCCCCGCGCUCAAUUAGCUGCGUUGUGCCUCCCAGUGCUGCAUUACGGCCGCUCCUCCGUCAGAGGCAUUAGCAAACGUGGUGCUGUAAUGAAUUUGCAAACGGGGCUGCCAGUGGCCCCGGCGCAGGAAUGCAGUGGGGCUGCACUGGGCCAGGUGUAUGGGGCGGGGGAGGAAGGCUGCUCCAGGCUGGGUUUUGCAAUUAGGCCGCGUGGUGUAACUCUUUUGUUUCGCAGAAGGCAGCUUUAUUAAUUGAUGUAGAAGGUUGCUGCGCGCUAUUCAUUGUUUGAUUAAAAUGCCUGUAUAAAUAAUUAGGCCUCUUCUGUUUGUUUUAUUUUUGCACCCAAUUUGCAUUUUCAUGCAGAAUGAAAAUGAAUUAGCAAAUAUAUUUAUUUUCCAAAUUUUUUAACCCGUCGCCGCUCUCCCGUGGUCAGCCAUCACUGGUCCAGAGCCCAGCAGCUCUGCUCUUCCUUUGUGUGCUUGGGGGAUGUUGGGGCAUGUGAUGGGGGGAUCCCAGGAAGGAAUAACCCAGAAGCGCUGGGGUGGCCCCAGGCUGGUGGGACUCUGCUGCAGAGAGCAGCUCUCAGCCAGACCCCAAUUUGCACCCAUCGACUUCAUGGGCUGUGUGAACUGCUGGGAAUGCUGCUGUUGUGCUGCAGGGGCUGGGGCCAGGGGUGCAUCCACAGUGCCAGAGCUGCACUGCUUGGUGCAUCGGGGCCUGUCUGUCCUUGUAAAUGUAGGAAAAUCUGUCUGCUGGCAGGAAAUCCAGAACAGCGUCGUAGUCGGUAUUAAAUCUUUAUCUUAGGAUGAAAUUGCUUUGAGUUGUAAACUGGUGCACUUGAUUUCCGUGCAUUAUUUGCUCUUUCUUGAGCAAACUGCUGCAGUGCAAUGCAGAAUUCAUUGGCCAUCGGGGCUGCCCUACAGACGUGGGUCAUCUGCACCAGGCAUGGUUCUUCCCUCAGGCACGUGCAGCUGCUUUUCCACGUUGGAUCAGGUGUGCACCCUUUCAAUGAAGCUGAGCACAGCUCACAUCCUGUAUGAUUCAUGAUGGACAGAUCCAUUUGCCAUGGUGUUUCCCUCCCUUCCCUGGCAGCACAGGCUGAGUGCUCACCCCCUGAGUGCAGGGAGAGCACCUCGCUCCCUGCUGCUGGGCAGUGCUGGGCUGGGAGGAGCUGUGCCGGGCAGCAGAGCAGGCUGCAGGACUUGUGCCUGUUUGCUGCUGGCAGUGACUGUGCUUUGGGAGGAUGGGAAUGAUGAUGCAUGCCUGCUGGUUUUGUGCUGCUUAAAACCUCCGUAGCAAGCUGGGGUCUUUAAAUCGGUGCCCUCAAUGUUGAUCUCUAUUUUUCUACUUGCAAAGACAAAAAUUAGAAGUGAAAAACAUAUAACUCUUGGAUCGUGAGGGGUAUCUGGUGUUGUUGUGCAUGGCCUGAGCAUUAAACCCAACGUCACCUCUGCCCCAGGAGCGGUGUGGGGGAAGCUGGGUGGGUUCUCAUCUCCCACAGUGCUGCUCUGCAGCCCCACACAGGUGCUGGAGGAUCUGGCCUUUGGCAGCCGUGGCUGAUGGUCCCUUCUGGAAGGGCUGGGCCAACAGCGCGCGUCCUCAAGUUUUUCCAGGCGUGGAUCGAUAGGCAAGCACAGUUUAACAGCAGCUGCAACAACAACAACACAGAAAGCUUGCUCUGUGCGGCUGGUCCCCGGGGAGAAGCAGAGAAUUGUCCUCGUAAUAAGAGAGGCUCAGUUUGGAGUAAGUAGCUCUCCCUGGGAAACUCAGGAGCAGGGGCAGGCAGCAACAGAAAGCAGUGCUGUUGGGCUCUCACUCAGCCAAGCUCUGGUGUGGCGCUCCCCACUCUGGGUCAUGGCAGUGGCAGCUCCGUGCUAUGGGAGCAGAUCCAAAGGAAGGGCAGAGCUGGAGCCUCCUACCUCGAGGUGUGCAGCACUGCAUGGCCGGGAGCUGCUCAGGCAGGAUUCACAGCAGCAUCACACUCCUGUGCACAGUGUGACUGUGCUGAGCUGUGGCCGUGGUGGCAGCCUGCUCUGCGUAGCGCUGCCAGAGGCUUUUCCUCACUCCACCAUCUCCCUAGAAGCCCUCUCCUCACCUUGCAUGGGAUGCAGUGAGAUCUGCAUGGGGCAGGCACUGCUCUUGGCACUCUGUGCACAUUGAAUGGGGCCAAUCCCAGUCUGCAGUGGUCCCUUUUCUGGCUGCAUGUGAAGGCUCCAGAUCCCCCUGACUCCUCGUGGAGGUGGAGGAUGGCCAUAGACUGCGGUGCUUUGAAAGCAUGUGGCCGCAGGGGCCGAUCUUGAGAGAUGCCACACAUUGCUGCUCUCGCUGGUCCCUUCAGCAGCCCUGCCUGUGCCAGCCCACAUUAUCCUCUGCCAGAGCCCGGUUAUAUUCCCAGAGAAUGGGAUUAAACUCCAAACAGAUCCUUGUGCCUCCUGGCUGACGUUUGCUGCCUGCUGCCAGCUUGUUUCUGGUGUUGUGGGGUUGCAGUGUGCACCAGCAACUCAGUGCAGCACAGAGACUGGUAGUAGGAGCUUUGCACAUCUCCCCCAUGCUCUAGGGGAUGCUGCAGGAUUUUCCCUUUUCCUUGUGGCUCAGAACUUGUGUUUCUUUGCUGAAAUUUCCUUGUGGCAUGCCAAGAAGCUGGUGAGUGCUGUACAAAUGCUGGACACGUGUUGCUGUGUGCGGCCACCCAAGUCAGCUCUGGCUGUUGUUGAGCUGCUGCUGUCCUUACUCUGCAGUGCUAUUCCAGUGAAAUCAUAGCGUUCAGGGUUUGGAUCCAACAUUACAUUUCUUUUUCCCCCACCAGAAUGUUGCAUCCUAUAUUUAUUCCUUUUGCAUUCUCUGCCAAACACAGGGUAGUCAAUGGGUGGAAUUUUUUGCAAGAAAUUCAGAAAAAUUCAGACUUUUAAAUUAAAAAAAAAAAAGCAACAACUUGAGAACACAGCUUUAAGAAUGUGCGUGUGUCUCUGAGUGAGUUGUAAUGCACACAGCCAAAUCCAAGUGAUCCCACCCUCCCUUUUUCCUGUCACUUACAUGCAGCCAGCCGCAAUGAGCCAGCCCAGCACUCUCUGUAGUAAAGGUGAGUGCUGGGGCUGCUUGGACAGGACCAUGCCCAGCAGGGCUGUGGCACAAUAUGGUAUAUGGUGUGUGUGAGGUGCAUGUGGCAACCUGGAUUGGUUUGCCCAGAGAGGUGGUGUUGCCCCAUGUGGUGCCCUUGAGACGCUCAAGGUUGGCCUGGACAGGGCUCUGAGCACCUGAUGGUGCUAUAGGUGUCCCUGCUCAUUGCAGGGAGGUUGGACCAGAUGACCUUUAAUGGCCCGUUCAUGUUCAAAUGAUUCUAUUAUUUGAUGUCCAUUGUUGUGAAAAUGCAUAUUUUGCAUAAAAUUGUAUGGGAUGAAUCAAGUGUUCAUUUUACUAUGUAUGUUGCUGUGUUCGUGAGCUUUCCAAAUAACUUUCUGCAUGUGUAGUGGGCUCCUCGCUGAGAAGGUGGCAGUCCUGAACGCUUGAGUGAAAUGUUCUCCUUGUAAAUUGAAUAGCAGGGAAACAUAAAUCUGUUUAAAG
RNAcentral lists this long non-coding RNA (4457 nucleotides) under Gallus gallus (chicken). RNAcentral's name for it is "lncRNA (ENSGALG00010015995.1)". Lineage: Eukaryota; Metazoa; Chordata; Aves; Galliformes; Phasianidae. The record is from RNAcentral.